Molecule: small nuclear RNA, 177 nt
Filed under: Macleaya cordata
Lineage: Eukaryota; Viridiplantae; Streptophyta; Magnoliopsida; Ranunculales; Papaveraceae
Description: U2 spliceosomal RNA
Rfam family: U2 spliceosomal RNA
About the family: U2 is a small nuclear RNA (snRNA) component of the spliceosome (involved in pre-mRNA splicing). Complementary binding between U2 snRNA (in an area lying towards the 5' end but 3' to hairpin I) and the branchpoint sequence (BPS) of the intron results the bulging out of an unpaired adenosine, on the BPS, which initiates a nucleophilic attack at the intronic 5' splice site, thus starting the first of two transesterification reactions that mediate splicing.
Source: Rfam by way of RNAcentral
AUACCUUUCUCGGCCUUUUGGCUAAGAUCAAGUGUAGUAUCUGUUCUUAUCAGUUUAAAUUAAUAUCUGAUAUGUGGGUCAUCGGCCCACAUGAUAUUAAAUUAAUUUUGGGGAUUUUGGCCAAAAACCCCUACUUGGAAAACGUUUUAGGAUUUAGCCCAACAAACGUUUUCUUUU